UGAGGAGAUUAUUUUAGAUUAUCUGUGUGGGUCCUGAAUCCAAUGACAAGUAUUCUCCCUCUCUUUUUUUUUUUUUUUUGCAUUUUAGGUUUUGGGGUACAUGUGAAGAACAUGCAAGAUUGUUGCAUAGGUACACACGUGCCAGUGUGAUUUGCUGCCUUCCUCCCCUUCACCUAUAGCUGGCAUUUCUCCCUGUGCUAUCUGUCCCCAACUCCCCACCCUGCACUGCCCCUCCCCUAUUUCCCCCUAACAGACCCCAGUGUGUAGUGCUCCCCUCCCUUUGCCCAUGUGUUCUCAUUGUUCAUGAUAAGUAUUCUUUAAGAGAAUUCCUUAAGACUCAUAGAGGAGAAGACAGACAGAAGAGGAGGAGGCAGUGUGACCACAGAGGCUAAGACUGAAAUGAUGUGGCACAAGUCAAGAAAUACCUGUAGUGACAGAAGCUGGAAGAAGUAAAGUAUGGAUUCUCUCCUAGAGCCUCCAAAGAAAGUGUGGUCCUGAGGACAUCUGUUCUCCAUAACUGUUGGCUCAUUUGUGAUUGCUUCUUCAUGACAUGCUGGAAGCUGCAUGCAUUUUCUAAAGCAAUACUGUGUCUCUAAGGGUAUCCUCAAAAGACAACUGCAAGAGGAGCGCAUCCGUGGCACAACUUUGAUUGGUUCACAUGAUCGUUCGCUCUGCCUGAAAGUAGAUAUGACAUGAGAUUAAGUGUGGAAGAAGUGUGUGGGUCCACAUUGAACAUCUAUAGAUUUUCACAGUGGCACGUGGGUCAGAUGGGCUCUCCUCUGUUACGACCUACUUUUGAUGUGUCAUCUUUCACCACAAAGCCCAGAAAGGUAAAAGCUUCCCAUAUAUUUUUGGAUCUUGAAUUGCACAUGUAUGGUGUGUAUUCCUUCAAUCAUAUGCAUUUAGACAACACGUGAGUUUGGAAGCUAGUGAUAAGAGGAGAUAAGCAUCUGCAUAUGGGUCAUUUCGUUUGCUGGAGGAUGUAGGCUGGCCAGUGUGAUUCUGAGACCAGUAGUUUUGGUAUUACCUUCCUUAACUCUGAAUUAUAGUUUAGAUGGUGUGUUCCUGGAGCCAACAGUAGUUGCUUCUCCACCUUCCUAAUUGUUAAAAUCUGGAAUUACUUUUAAAUGUGAACAUAUUGAAUAAAAUUAAGUGCAAGAACUCAAAUGACUGGAUCUUUUUUGCAUGUUGCUUUAACACUUUGCUUUUCAGUGGGUGGCACGAGAUGAGUUUCUUAUGUUCCCACUCUUUGUAUUUUUCCUGAAAUUUUAUUUGUCUCAUAUUUAUUUGUUUAGGUAAAUUUUACCAAGUGUUGAUGCAGCUAAGAGAUUUACCAAUAGUAUACCCUGAUCAAAACUUCUGAAUAUUAUACUAUAAUUAUCGCAAAUGUCCAUUGCUUUAGAAAAUUGUUACUUUUAUGAGAAAAAACACAUUCACUUUUAAAAUUAUGCUUUAAAAAUC
This is a long non-coding RNA of Callithrix jacchus (white-tufted-ear marmoset), 1461 nucleotides long. RefSeq lists it as uncharacterized. Lineage: Eukaryota; Metazoa; Chordata; Mammalia; Primates; Cebidae. The record is from RefSeq and is a predicted model, not a curated record.